GAGUUUGAUCCUGCUCAGGAUAAACGCUGGCGGCGUGCCUAACACAUGCAAGUCGAACGUCCUGGGGUUUUACGGAACCGCAGGGAGUGGCGGACGGGUGAGUAGCACGUGGGUAUCUAGCUCCGAGUGCGGAAUACCGGCGAGAAAUCGCCGACAAGACCGCCUACGUUCCCCCCUAAUGGGGGGAGGAAAGCUUUCCUGCGGGGGAGCGCUCGGAGAUGAGCCUGCGGCCGAUUAGCUAGUUGGUGGGGUAAAAGCCUACCAAGGCGACGAUCGGUAGCUGGUCUGAGAGGACGAUCAGCCACACUGGGAUUGAGAACGGCCCAGACUCCUACGGGGGGCAGCAGUGAGGAAUUUUCCGCAAUGGGGGCAACCCUGACGGAGCAACGCCGCGUGCAGGAGGAAGCUUUUCGGAGUGUAAACUGCUUUUCUGUGGGAAGAGGCAGGACGGUACCACAGGAAGAAGCCCCGGCUAACUACGUGCCAGCAGCCGCGGUAAUACGUAGGGGGCGAGCGUUGUCCGGAGUUACUGGGCGUAAAGGGCGUGCAGGCGGUCGUGCGCGUUUGUGCAGACAGCCCCGUGCUUAACGCGGGGAGCGGUACAAAGACGGCGCGACUUGAGGACGGCAGAGGGACACAGAAUUCCGAGUGGAGCGGUGAAAUGCGUAGAGAUUCGGAGGAAUACCGAAGGCGAAGGCCGUGUCCUGGGACGUAUCUGACGCUGAGGCGCGAAAGCUAGGGGAGCGAACGGGAUUAGAUACCCCGGUAGUCCUAGCCGUAAACGAUGACCACCAGGUGUGCGGCGUAUCGACCCGCUGCGUGCCGGAGCUAACGCACGAAGUGGUCCGCCUGGGGAGUACGGUCGCAAGAUUAAAACUCAAAGGAAUUGACGGGGACCCGCACAAGCAGCGGAGCGUGUGGUUUAAUUCGAUGCGACGCGAAGAACCUUACCAGGGCUUGACAUGCCACUGCACCACUCUGCGAGGGGUGUCCCUUCGGGGCGGUGGCACAGGUGCUGCAUGGCUGUCGUCAGCUCGUGCCGUGAGGUGUUGGGUUAAGUCCCGCAACGAGCGCAACCCCUGUCGUCGGUUGGGAUAUCCGGCGAGACUGCCACGAUCAACGUGGAGGAAGGUGGGGAUGACGUCAAGUCAGCACGGCCCUUACGUCCUGGGCGACACACACGCUACAAUGGCCGAGACAACGAGUCGCCAACCCGCGAGGGGGAGCCAAUCUCAGCAAACUCGGUCUCAGUUCGGAUGGCAGGCUGCAACCCGCCUGCCUGAAGUCGGAGUUGCUAGUAACCGUGGGUCAGCACACCACGGUGAAUACGUUCCCGGGUCUUGUACACACCGCCCGUCACACCACGAAAGUCGGCAACACCUGAAGCCGCUGGGCUAACUCGGAGACGAGAGGCAGGCGUCGAGGGUGGGGUCGGUGAUUGGGGUGAAGUCGUAACAAGGUAGC
This 1464-nucleotide ribosomal RNA is filed under the name uncultured Thermosporothrix sp. RNAcentral's name for it is "bacterial SSU rRNA". It matches the Rfam family "Bacterial small subunit ribosomal RNA". Lineage: Bacteria; Bacillati; Chloroflexota; Ktedonobacteria; Ktedonobacterales; Thermosporotrichaceae. The record is from RNAcentral.